AACGAACGCUGGCGGCAUGCCUAACACAUGCAAGUCGAACGAGACCUUCGGGUCUAGUGGCGCACGGGUGCGUAACGCGUGGGAAGCUGCACGUAGGUUCGGAAUAACUCCCCGAAAGGGGUGCUAAUGCCAGAUAAUGUCUUCGGACCAAAGAUUUAUCGCCUUUGGAUGGGCCCGCGUUGGAUUAGCUAGUUGGUAGGGUAAAAGCCUACCAAGGCGACGAUCCAUAGCUGGUCUGAGAGGAUGAUCAGCAACACUGGGACGGAGACACGGCCCAGACUCCUACGGGAGGCAGCAGUGGGGAAUAUUGGACAAUGGGCGAAAGCCUGAUCCAGCAAUGCCGGGUGAGUGAUGAAGGCCUUAGGGAUGUAAUGCUCUUUUACCCGGGAUGAUAAUGACAGUACCGGGUGAAUAAGCGCCGGCUAACUCCGUG
This 433-nucleotide ribosomal RNA is filed under the name uncultured bacterium. RNAcentral describes it as "partial 16S ribosomal RNA". It matches the Rfam family "Bacterial small subunit ribosomal RNA", at positions 29 to 507 of the family's 1533-position model. The record is from RNAcentral.